This 429-nucleotide ribosomal RNA is filed under the name Gemmatimonadota bacterium. Its description in RNAcentral is "Gemmatimonadetes bacterium partial 16S ribosomal RNA". It matches the Rfam family "Bacterial small subunit ribosomal RNA", at positions 355 to 776 of the family's 1533-position model. Lineage: Bacteria; Pseudomonadati; Gemmatimonadota. The record is from RNAcentral.
UAGGGAAUCUUCGGCAAUGGACGAAAGUCUGACCGAGCAACGCCGCGUGAGUGAAGAAGGUUUUCGGAUCGUAAAACUCUGUUGUUAGAGAAGAACAAGGACGUUAGUAACUGAACGUCCCCUGACGGUAUCUAACCAGAAAGCCACGGCUAACUACGUGCCAGCAGCCGCGGUAAUACGUAGGUGGCAAGCGUUGUCCGGAUUUAUUGGGCGUAAAGCGAGCGCAGGCGGUUUCUUAAGUCUGAUGUGAAAGCCCCCGGCUCAACCGGGGGGGGUCAUUGGAAACUGGGAGACGUGAGUGCAGAAGAGGAGAGUGGAAUUCCAUGUGUAGCGGUGAAAUGCGUAGAUAUAUGGAGGAACACCAGUGGCGAAGGCGGCUCUCUGGUCUGUAACUGACGCUGAGGCUCGAAAGCGUGGGGAGCAAACAGG